Molecule: ribosomal RNA, 253 nt
Filed under: uncultured bacterium
Lineage: Bacteria
Description: partial 16S ribosomal RNA
Rfam family: Bacterial small subunit ribosomal RNA
Source: RNAcentral
UACGUAGGUGGCGAACGUUAUCCGGAGUGACUGGGUGUAAAGGGUCCGUAGGCGGGGGACUAAGUCUGACGUGAAAGCGCCCGGCUCAACUGGGCGAGUGCGUUGGAAACUGGACUUCUUGAAUCACGCAGAGGUCGGCGGAAUUCCCGGUGUAGUGGUGGAAUGCGUAGAGAUCGGGAGGAACCUCGAAAGCGAAGGCAGCCGACUGGGGGAUGAUUGACGCUGAGGGACGAAAGCGUGGGGAGCGAACAGG